Pipra filicauda (Wire-tailed manakin) is the source of this 417-nucleotide long non-coding RNA. RefSeq lists it as uncharacterized. The record is from RefSeq and is a predicted model, not a curated record. The transcript is spliced from 3 exons. NCBI's taxonomy places the organism in Eukaryota, Metazoa, Chordata, Aves, Passeriformes, Pipridae.
CACAGCUUUACCCUCUCCAAGCAGAGCAGUUGUGUACUCCAAGUGAAGGACCAUGUGAACUUCUGGAGAAUUUUAACACAGAUGUACUGAGCAGCCACAAGUUUUCAGAGCUUUCAAGCUGAAGUCACAGCUGAACAGCAGUUUGAAAAUCCCAACUUGAGAGACUACUUAGGAGGAGGAAAAGUUUCCACUUCUAAGUCUUUCCAAAGCCAGACUUUGUUGUAAGAGAUGGAAAAUCUGGGACUGAAAUCAUGUCAAUGAGUACCUGGGUCCUGCUGCUGCCCCCUCCCUUCCCUGUGCCCUGGUGCACCCUGGAGAGAGCAGAGAGGGGCAUGUGCUGGUUCCAGUGUGAGAAUCAUGAAGCCUGGAUUAUUCACACAAAUUCUGGGGCAGUCUUCUGGCUUUUAAAUACUUCCU